UUAUACUCAUAACUGCAUAGCGUGCAUAAAAGUAAAAUAAGAUAUAGCUGAAGUCACAAGCUGAAACAAGAAUUCGUCUCCGUAUGGACAAAAAUCCUUCCAUGGACGCAACAAAAAGACCACCCAACACUAGUUUAUGACUCUUUAUAGAUGUGUGCAUCAUUAAGAACAAUUUCUGAAUCGGUAACGGUGCUAUAUACCAAAGAGUGUCAUAUCUAAAGAUUAAACAAACAAUGCAUUAAUAUUUCUACCGAAGAUCAAAUAUUAAAACCUGUGAGUAUGAAACAUUAAAUAAGAAAAUAGCCGCAGCUCAUGGCAGAUACUCGCGAUGAUACAUGUCAUGGGAGACAGACA
Molecule: long non-coding RNA, 354 nt
Organism: Ooceraea biroi (clonal raider ant)
Lineage: Eukaryota; Metazoa; Arthropoda; Insecta; Hymenoptera; Formicidae
Source: RefSeq, a predicted model, not a curated record